RNAcentral lists this ribosomal RNA (253 nucleotides) under uncultured bacterium. Its description in RNAcentral is "partial 16S ribosomal RNA". It matches the Rfam family "Bacterial small subunit ribosomal RNA", at positions 524 to 776 of the family's 1533-position model. The record is from RNAcentral.
UACGUAGGGGGCAAGCGUUAUCCGGAAUCAUUGGGCGUAAAGCGCGUGUAGGCGGUUCCGUAAGUCCGCUCUGAAAGCCCAGGGCUCAACCCUGGGAGGCGGGUGGAUACUACGGAACUGGAGUACGGAAGAGGAGAUUGGAAUUCCUGGUGUAGCGGUGAAAUGCGCAGAUAUCAGGAGGAACACCGGUGGCGAAGGCGGGACUCUGGGCCGAUACUGACGCUGAGGAGCGAAAGCGUGGGGAGCAAACAGG